This 777-nucleotide ribosomal RNA is filed under the name uncultured Neocallimastigales. RNAcentral's name for it is "partial large subunit ribosomal RNA". It matches the Rfam family "Eukaryotic large subunit ribosomal RNA", at positions 23 to 634 of the family's 3401-position model. Lineage: Eukaryota; Fungi; Neocallimastigomycota; Neocallimastigomycetes; Neocallimastigales. The record is from RNAcentral.
AUAGAGACUCAGAGCUGCAUAUCAAUAAGCGGAGGAAAAGAAACUAACUAGGAUUCCCCUAGUAACGGCGAGUGAAGGCGGGAAGAGCUCAAAUUUGAAAUCUUCAAGGGUUCUGCCUUUACGAAUUGUAGUUUAAAGAAGUGUUUUCUGUUGGAGUUUUGGUAAAAGUUCUUUGGAAUAGGACAUCAUAGAGGGUGAGAAUCCCGUAUUUGACCAUUAUUUUCAGCUGUGUGAUACACUUUCAAAGAGUCGGAUUGUUUGGGAAUGCAGUCCAAAAUGGGUGGUAAAUUUCAUCUAAAGCUAAAUAUUGGCGAGAGACCGAUAGCGAACAAGUACCGUGAGGGAAAGAUGAAAAGAACUUUGAAAAGAGAGUUAAACAGUACGUGAAAUUGUCAAAAGGGAAGCGUUUGACACCAGUGUUGUUUUCUCGAAAAUCAAUUAAAAAUGGCUGGAUUUUGUGUUGUAUUGACUUUAUCGGCUUUCUGCACUUUUUUCAUGUCUUUUUUAAUGCACUUUUCGUUUAACAAGUCAACAUCAAUUUCUUUUGUUGUAAAAGGGUUAUUGGAAGGUGGCUUUCUCUUCGGAGAAAGUGUUUAUAGCCUUUAACCUCUGCAAUCGGAGAGAUUGAGGUCUGCAGCGUAGAUCCUUCGGGGUUAGAUACAUUUGUGCUAAGUUAUAGUCUUUUAUAGACAACUUGUUGACUAUGAUUAAGUCUUGUAGCUUACUCGCUUAUGCUAUUUUACCUACGCUUAGGAUGUUGAUAGUCACAGCGUGUAC